RNAcentral lists this long non-coding RNA (484 nucleotides) under Physcomitrium patens. RNAcentral describes it as "long non-coding RNA (PPAT_LNC002479)". The record is from RNAcentral. Lineage: Eukaryota; Viridiplantae; Streptophyta; Bryopsida; Funariales; Funariaceae.
GAUUUGCCGUGUCUCGUGGCAAGCAAUAUGUGGAUCUCCUGUCGAUCGGUCCCCCGUCAACUGUUUCUCCGAAGACAGUUUUGUGGUGUUCGAUGUAUUCCAGCACCUGAACAGGUCUGCUAGUAUUGAUUAGUUCGAAAAUAAAUUGCGACCAAGGUAACUAUGACUACGAAGGUGGUAAUUGGUCCAAUAAUGAGACACGUGGCCCUGGAAAAGACAGGGUAGCAGGUGUUAUGAGAGUAGCCAGGAAAGUAGCGGGUGUGCUUAGGUAAGCUUUGAGUCACCACACUUUGCUGAUGUCGCCAUCAAAUUAAUUUUCAUCUUGUUUCUCCAGAACACAUGUCGCCGCAACUUGUAUAACGAUCCAGAAGCUGACAUCGAACCGGCUCCUGCAACUAAGGAAACUAGAUGGCUUUCAUGGUGGGUGUCCAACAUAAUACUUGGACUGAUUUCAAGAGUAAUCUUACUUUUGGUCCAUAUCAUU